CACUUUUGCAGAUUUCUUCGGAUUGAAGCAAUUGUGACUGAGCGGCGGACGGGUGAGUAACGCGUGGGUAACCUGCCUCAUACAGGGGGAUAACAGUUGGAAACGGCUGCUAAUACCGCAUAAGCGCACAGUACCGCAUGGUACCGUGUGAAAAACUCCGGUGGUAUGAGAUGGACCCGCGUCUGAUUAGCUAGUUGGUGGGGUAACGGCCUACCAAGGCGACGAUCAGUAGCCGACCUGAGAGGGUGACCGGCCACAUUGGGACUGAGACACGGCCCAAACUCCUACGGGAGGCAGCAGUA
This 302-nucleotide ribosomal RNA is filed under the name uncultured bacterium. RNAcentral describes it as "bacterial SSU rRNA". It matches the Rfam family "Bacterial small subunit ribosomal RNA", at positions 67 to 355 of the family's 1533-position model. The record is from RNAcentral.